RNAcentral lists this long non-coding RNA (893 nucleotides) under Prunus dulcis (almond). Its description in RNAcentral is "sRNA ncRNA". The record is from RNAcentral. Lineage: Eukaryota; Viridiplantae; Streptophyta; Magnoliopsida; Rosales; Rosaceae.
UUAGGCUUUCCAUAGCGACUAGGAGACUAGUUCUCCUAGUAUAAGUGGGAAUCUUGGAACUAACCCAUCAAGUUUCUUGCUUGCGUUGCGUGUCUAUAUAUAUGUGUCAUGUGUGGCCACUUCCUACAUUGUGCAACAUCCAACUCCCUCCCGAUCUCAAGUACGUCCAGGCCAAGCCAAUUACAGUCUCCUCCUCCUCCGUUGUCUUCAAAUAGAGUAGAGAUGGAAUAUCGGUGUCAUUGGAACAACAGAAGCCGUAGCCAAGGGGAUAGAAAUUACAGAAAGCGGUGCAGGACAAGCAGUGACGAUCAUGAUAAUGAUGCAAAGGUGCAGGCCAUUAGAUCUGGAGGUACUGAUGCUGCUGCUGCUGCUGCUGAUGAUGAUAUGGGCUUGGAGAGAGCAAAGAAAUUAUUGGCUACGCUUCAAAAUAAAAAGAUGAUCAAAGAUAUUCACCACAAGGAUCAUGAUCAUACAGCAGCAGCUGCUUAUUCUACUACUAGUCCACAAGCAAUUCCCUCCUUUGCAACUGCAGAUCAAAAGAAUAUCAAUAUUCAUGAAAUCCCGUCCUCCUCAACUACAUGUCCUACUUGUUGUUUGCCCAAGGAACCCAAACUUGUCUUUUCAGAGAUACGGACAUUCGUUGAGGGUCCCCACUUUGAGAAACAAGAAUCCCGCUUCAUCAAACGAAAGAAGAAGAUUGAAAAGAUUAAGGCUGAAGAACAAAAGGCAAGAGAAUAUGCUAUGGAGGUGCUUGCAAAGCUAGUGCCUUCCCAUAUUAAAUUUACAGUCCUUUAGGAGGAUCUAAGCAAGAGAACAUAACAUUGUUAUGCUCAUGGUCAUGAAUGAAAUCAGUCAUAUGUAUGUUUUUUUUUAACUCUUUGGUGAAUGCGAAU